UCUCUUUAAAAGCGCGGCCUUUGACCCUAUAUUCCCCUUGUCGGACUUGUUCCGACUAUGGCGGUAAACUGGUUGUGUAAUAAACCCAUCGGACCCGGGGGCAGUACCCGGCGCCUCCACCAGAUUCCCUGCGAGUGCAGGAGCGUGUUGCCGGUCAGCCGGCACCAUUCUGGGGGCGAAACAGGAUCGACGAGGGCGUAAAGACUUCUCUUCUGCUCGGCAUGGUUCCGCCGUUAUCGGGCCGAUUCAAUAGUUGCCAACGACAACUAUGCUGAGGCACGUCUCGCUGCGUAAUGCAGUGCGACAACCUCUUUUAAGUCCUUGCCUGUAGCAGGGUAAGGCGGGGUUCGGAGGCACCUGGCAACAGAAGCCUCCACU
Molecule: transfer-messenger RNA, 378 nt
Filed under: Parvibaculum sp.
Lineage: Bacteria; Pseudomonadati; Pseudomonadota; Alphaproteobacteria; Hyphomicrobiales; Parvibaculaceae
Rfam family: Alphaproteobacteria transfer-messenger RNA
About the family: Bacterial tmRNA, also known as 10Sa RNA or SsrA, is named for its dual tRNA and mRNA-like properties.
Source: RNAcentral